RNAcentral lists this ribosomal RNA (253 nucleotides) under uncultured bacterium. RNAcentral describes it as "partial 16S ribosomal RNA". It matches the Rfam family "Bacterial small subunit ribosomal RNA", at positions 524 to 776 of the family's 1533-position model. The record is from RNAcentral.
UACGUAGGGUGCGAGCGUUGUCCGGAUUUAUUGGGCGUAAAGAGCUCGUAGGCGGUUUGUCGCGUCGGCCGUGAAAUCUCCACGCUUAACGUGGAGCGUGCGGUCGAUACGGGCAGACUUGAGUUCGGUAGGGGAGACUGGAAUUCCUGGUGUAGCGGUGAAAUGCGUAGAUAUCAGGAGGAAUACCGAUGGCGAAGGCAGGUCUCUGGGCUGAUACUGACGCUCAUGCACGAAAGCGUGGGGAGCAAACAGG